This 241-nucleotide long non-coding RNA is filed under the name Elaeis guineensis (African oil palm). RNAcentral describes it as "long non-coding RNA (EGUI_LNC022832)". The record is from RNAcentral. Lineage: Eukaryota; Viridiplantae; Streptophyta; Magnoliopsida; Arecales; Arecaceae.
GGGUCGAAUUUGAUCGUAGGUGUCUUAAGACCUGAUUUAUGAGGUCUUAAGAUGGCUAACUCAGGGUUUGGACUGAGAUUCAGUUCAUAGGAUAAGGACAUACAAGACUUGGGCUUGGGUGAGUGCUUUUAUAUAUGGGUUAGUCUAGGAAGUUUUUUGGGCUUGGAUUUUUUAACCUGUUGUAAUUGGUAUAUAUAUAGGUCUUGUAAUAUCAAGAAAAAGAGAGAAUGAAUAACAGAGC